Molecule: long non-coding RNA, 720 nt
Organism: Nyctereutes procyonoides (raccoon dog)
Lineage: Eukaryota; Metazoa; Chordata; Mammalia; Carnivora; Canidae
Exons: 3
Source: RefSeq, a predicted model, not a curated record
CCCGCCCCCCGCCGCGCCACCGCCGCUAGGGAUUCGCUGAGGCGCGGCGGCCCCCGGCGCGGCGUCCGCUCCGGACAACGGGGCCCGGGUCCCGGGCUUCUCGGGGCCUGAGCCUGGCAGGCCGCUCAGCGCCACAUCCCCCGCUCGAUGGGUCUAGCCUGAGAGCCGGCCGCGCGUACCGAGGCGGGACGGGGCGGCUGCUGGCGGGACGCGGGGCGCUUCCGCGAACCUCGUCGCUUCCGGCUUCCGGGUCGCGGCCCUGCGGCCCCCGCGGGAAGGAGCGACGCGGCGCUGAGGCCGGUUCUCGCUGCGGUCGUGUGGGUCAUCGCGGCCGUCGAGAUGUUCAGAGAACAGAAGGGCAGGGCUGAGUGAACAAGAAGCGGAUUUCACUUGUGCAGUGGGGGUAACGCUUCACGAAGAAGUUCCCCGACGGAUAAAAGCUCUGAAGUUCUCUCUGUCUUGUUACGAUGAUGAUGUACUACGGAAGGAGCAGCAGCAGCAGCAGCAACAGGCGUUUUGAUCUUCUCCUGGGAAGUAUGAGCUUGCAGCUGGGGAAUGUGUGAGAGCGAAGGUAUUGGGGGGGGGGGGAGACACCCCCUGGUCCUGAUUCUGCGCCUUGAGGAUUGCUUUGGGGCAUUCUUUGAGACUUUGGGGAAAAAAAUCGGGAACUCUACUGAGGAUGGCGAGAAUCAAAUAAAGCCCUUGAAGUAACUUUGCAAA